This 258-nucleotide ribosomal RNA is filed under the name uncultured bacterium. RNAcentral describes it as "partial 16S ribosomal RNA". It matches the Rfam family "Bacterial small subunit ribosomal RNA", at positions 1234 to 1500 of the family's 1533-position model. The record is from RNAcentral.
CAGGUACAGAGGGCAGCUACCCAGCAAUGGGAUGCGAAUCUCGAAAGCCUGUCUCAGUUCGGAUUGGAGGCUGAAACCCGCCUCCAUGAAGUUGGAUUCGCUAGUAAUCGCGCAUCAGCCAUGGCGCGGUGAAUACGUUCCCGGGCCUUGUACACACCGCCCGUCAAGCCAUGGGAGCCGGGGGUGCCUGAAGUUCGUGACCGCAAGGAGCGACCUAGGGCAAAACUGGUGACUGGGGCUAAGUCGUAACAAGGUACC